Molecule: small RNA, 29 nt
Filed under: Bombyx mori (domestic silkworm)
Lineage: Eukaryota; Metazoa; Arthropoda; Insecta; Lepidoptera; Bombycidae
Description: ovarian small RNA-13415
Source: RNAcentral
CAUCGUCCUUGAGAGGGCUCAGCGCCUUC